UACGGGGGGAGCAAGCGUUGUUCGGAUUUACUGGGCGUAAAGGGCGCGUAGGCGGCCUCAGCAAGUCAGUUGUGAAAUCUCCGAGCUUAACUCGGAAAGGUCAACUGAUACUGCGGGGCUAGAGUGCGGAAGGGGCAACUGGAAUUCUUGGUGUAGCGGUGAAAUGCGUAGAUAUCUGGAGGAACACCGGUGGCGAAGGCGGCAUCCUGGACCGAUACUGACGCUGAGGAGCGAAAGCCAGGGGAGCAAACGGG
RNAcentral lists this ribosomal RNA (254 nucleotides) under uncultured bacterium. RNAcentral's name for it is "partial 16S ribosomal RNA". It matches the Rfam family "Bacterial small subunit ribosomal RNA", at positions 524 to 776 of the family's 1533-position model. The record is from RNAcentral.